UUCGUCUUAGUAAUAGAGAGGUUAAGAUACCCCGAUUCCGGUUUACGGGUACGGGUGAUAUACACGUACCCGUACCCGUAAAUCGGGGAAUAACUUGUAACUUAAGAAAUCCAAGAUACUCCGGCGUGAGAAAACCGAUCAGAGAAUGGCAACUUUCGCUGUUGAGGUUCGCCAUAAAUUGUUAAAAGCUUUGACCAGUAUAUGUGCAUUAUUUAUUUGGGUAAGAUGUUGAAAAUGUGUACUAUUUAAACGGCCCAAAAAUAGUAAACAGAAAACACCCGUACCCGUUUGUCGUUUACGUGUAGACCACGGUUUACCGCGGGGAAACGGGUAGAAAUUACGGGUAAAAUUGCUGACAUCAGCAAAAAUUGGUAAACAAAAUGGCGAUACUCGUACCCGUAAACCGGAACCGGGGUAUCUUAACCUCUCUAAUGUUAA
Non-coding RNA from Paramuricea clavata, 438 nucleotides. NCBI's taxonomy places the organism in Eukaryota, Metazoa, Cnidaria, Anthozoa, Malacalcyonacea, Plexauridae. The record is from the annotation of a GenBank genome assembly.